GUCUCCCACCAUACCACCCUGAAUGCUCCUGAUCUCAUCUGGUCUCAGAAGCUAAGCAGGGUCAGGGCUGGUUAGUACUUGGAUGGGAGAAAAGACUGACUUGAAGCUGGACAUC
Molecule: ribosomal RNA, 115 nt
Filed under: Castor canadensis (American beaver)
Lineage: Eukaryota; Metazoa; Chordata; Mammalia; Rodentia; Castoridae
Source: RNAcentral